CUCUUCCCAUUCCGAACAGAGAAGUUAAGCCCCUCAUGGCCGAUGGUACUGCGCAAUCAUGCGGGAGAGUAGGUAGCUGCCAUAU
This 85-nucleotide ribosomal RNA is filed under the name Chitinophaga costaii. Lineage: Bacteria; Pseudomonadati; Bacteroidota; Chitinophagia; Chitinophagales; Chitinophagaceae. The record is from RNAcentral. RNAcentral also lists the same sequence under 1 other name.